RNAcentral lists this ribosomal RNA (477 nucleotides) under uncultured bacterium. Its description in RNAcentral is "partial 16S ribosomal RNA". It matches the Rfam family "Bacterial small subunit ribosomal RNA", at positions 28 to 523 of the family's 1533-position model. The record is from RNAcentral.
GACGAACGCUGGCGGCGUGCUUAACACAUGCAAGUCGAGCGAUGAAGUUCCUUCGGGAGUGGAUUAGCGGCGGACGGGUGAGUAACACGUGGGUAACCUGCCUCAUAGAGGGGAAUAGCCUUUCGAAAGGAAGAUUAAUACCGCAUAAGAUUGUAGCUUCGCAUGAAGCAGCAAUUAAAGGAGUAAUCCGCUAUGAGAUGGACCCGCGUCGCAUAGCUAGUUGGUGAGGUAACGGCUCACCAAGGCGACGAUGCGUAGCCGACCUGAGAGGGUGAUCGGCCACAUUGGGACUGAGACACGGCCCAGACUCCUACGGGAGGCAGCAGUGGGGAAUAUUGCACAAUGGGGGAAACCCUGAUGCAGCAACGCCGCGUGAGUGAUGACGGUCUUCGGAUUGUAAAGCUCUGUCUUCAGGGACGAUAAUGACGGUACCUGAGGAGGAAGCCACGGCUAACUACGUGCCAGCCGCCGCCGUAA